AGGGAUGUAACUCAGUGGUAGAGGAAUAUGUUGCGCAGGUUCGACUCCUGCCAUCCCGA
This 59-nucleotide transfer RNA is filed under the name Andreesenia angusta. RNAcentral's name for it is "Eubacterium angustum tRNA". It matches the Rfam family "tRNA". From Rfam's summary of the family: Transfer RNA (tRNA) molecules are approximately 80 nucleotides in length. Their secondary structure includes four short double-helical elements and three loops (D, anti-codon, and T loops). Further hydrogen bonds mediate the characteristic L-shaped molecular structure. tRNAs have two regions of fundamental functional importance: the anti-codon, which is responsible for specific mRNA codon recognition, and the 3' end, to which the tRNAs corresponding amino acid is attached (by aminoacyl-tRNA synthetases). tRNAs cope with the degeneracy of the genetic code in two manners: having more than one tRNA (with a specific anti-codon) for a particular amino acid; and 'wobble' base-pairing, i.e. permitting non-standard base-pairing at the 3rd anti-codon position. Lineage: Bacteria; Bacillati; Bacillota; Tissierellia; Tissierellales; Gottschalkiaceae. The record is from Rfam by way of RNAcentral.